This 740-nucleotide ribosomal RNA is filed under the name uncultured soil bacterium. RNAcentral describes it as "bacterial SSU rRNA". It matches the Rfam family "Bacterial small subunit ribosomal RNA", at positions 28 to 769 of the family's 1533-position model. The record is from RNAcentral.
GAUGAACGCUAGCGGCAGGCUUAACACAUGCAAGUCGAGGGGUAGAAGUCUUCGGAUUUUGAGACCGGCGCACGGGUGCGUAACGCGUAUGCAAUCUGCCUUUUACAGAGGGAUAGCCCAGAGAAAUUUGGAUUAAUACCUCAUAGUAUUAUGAAAUGGCAUCAUUUUAUAAUUAAAGUCACAACGGUAAAAGAUGAGCAUGCGUCCCAUUAGCUAGUUGGUAAGGUAACGGCUUACCAAGGCUACGAUGGGUAGGGGUCCUGAGAGGGAGAUCCCCCACACUGGUACUGAGACACGGACCAGACUCCUACGGGAGGCAGCAGUGAGGAAUAUUGGACAAUGGGCGCAAGCCUGAUCCAGCCAUGCCGCGUGCAGGAUGACGGUCCUAUGGAUUGUAAACUGCUUUUAUACGAGAAGAAACACUCCUACGUGUAGGAGCUUGACGGUAUCGUAAGAAUAAGGAUCGGCUAACUCCGUGCCAGCAGCCGCGGUAAUACGGAGGAUCCAAGCGUUAUCCGGAAUCAUUGGGUUUAAAGGGUCCGUAGGCGGUUUAGUAAGUCAGUGGUGAAAGCCCAUCGCUCAACGGUGGAACGGCCAUUGAUACUGCUGAACUUGAAUUAUUAGGAAGUAACUAGAAUAUGUAGUGUAGCGGUGAAAUGCUUAGAGAUUACAUGGAAUACCAAUUGCGAAGGCAGGUUACUACUAAUGGAUUGACGCUGAUGGACGGAAGCGUGGGUAGC